GUGAAUAUAUGCCUUGACAGGAUUACAAUGGUUUUGAUGAUUGACAAAAGAAGUCCUAGAAGAACAAAGAUGCAAAAAGCGGAAAAGAAUAUUCAAGCUUUCUUGUCUUGGAUUUUAUUUUUAUUUAUAUUACGAAUUUAUUGUAAGUGGUUAAAAAUCUCUCAAGAAAAUAAAUCACACACUCACAAUAUUCUUCAAACAAAUGUGAUUUUGCAUUAAAAUAUUUUUGCAUGAAAAAGCCAUAAUUGAUUAUGGAAAAUUGCAUAAAUAUUUAUUUACAUUAAAAAUAUUUUUGCAUUCAUAUUAUGAUUUCAUUUCUCAAGCCAUAUUCUAUUAUAUUUAUUCGGUUAAUUGGCUGGCAUAGAAUUUCUCCUAGUAUCGUUUUCAUAACAACAUAGUCAAAUAAUCAAUUAUGUUUAUACACAAUUGAUUACGGUGAAUUAAACUUUUCUAUCCGUUGGCAAUUAAACAUAUAAUCGUUGGAAUGAAAUCAAGUUUUUAAUACCAUGCAAUUGAAUGGAUUUGAUUCUUAAAAAGAUUACAUAUUGCCUAAUUGGUCUAUAUGUAUUCAACGGAUAAUUUUGUAUGUCCAACGGCUACUUGAUUUUAUCAUGCUACGGCUACUUAUUUUCUCAUAUGAAUUUCACUUUCAUUUUUGCAUAUAAAUAGAUGCAUUGUGGUAGCUCAUUUUCAACAACUCAUAUUUGCACUAAACAUUGUGAAAAAUA
RNAcentral lists this long non-coding RNA (728 nucleotides) under Medicago truncatula (barrel medic). Its description in RNAcentral is "long non-coding RNA (MTRU_LNC002472)". The record is from RNAcentral. Lineage: Eukaryota; Viridiplantae; Streptophyta; Magnoliopsida; Fabales; Fabaceae.